CUCUUACCUCGGCGUUGCGUCCCGCUCUGACCCUCCCACGUCGCCCCAGGUGCUCCACCCUUUGUGGCCACGCCCCCGCCCGCCCCCACGUUUCCAGCUCCCCAUUGUAGUAUCGCCUCCCACCUGCCCCCGCCAGCUCCGAGGUCCCUCUCCUCGAUGCUCCGCCCUGAGCCCCCCGCCCCGCCUCCUGAGCUCCGUGGAACGCGGCUCUUACGCCCUCUAUCGGCCGGAUUCUCCUACCCUGUGGAGUCCUGGACAGCUCUGCCUCAAAAGGACAUCUCUCGAGGAAUUGAUGGCAAGAAGGAGAGCCCUGCCUGGCCUAGUGCCUCUCUACCUUGGCCUAGCUGUGUGGCCUUGGGGCAUAUCCUUACACUUCCCUGGGCCUCAGCUGUCUCAUCUGGAAAGUGAGGAGUGGGUCUAGAUUUCCCCAAGGGUACCUCACUGACUGUAUUUGAAGUCAGGCUUUUGUUUGCUCUGGAGUGUUUUUCUACUCUUUUGGGGAAAUUUUGGUAUGGGGGGGGACCUCAUUCUAGGAGUCACUGCUUUCCUCUAAUGACAAUGGUCCCUAGCAUCUCAAAUUUGUAUUUUCCAAACUCUUUCACAUCCUGUCAUAUUUUGUCUUCAUAUCACUUCUGGGAUAGAGGUUUUUAUUCCCAUAUCAUAGAUGGGCGAACUGAUGGAUAGGAGCAGAGACUCAGGCCACCUCAGCAUCCUGCAGCUUGGCCUAGAGGUGGGCUGACUGGGGCCUCUGGAUCAGGAAUUUCCCUUGUUGGGGAAGAAGAGUGUUUAAGGAUCUGAGCUGGGCCUCCACCCAAUGGGACACUCACCCAGAGAGUGGCUUGGCUGCUCCCAGCACCUCCUGAGUCCUCUCAGCUUUAGCCCCUUCUGAUUCAGGAUGAGAGAAAAUCAUCUUCUAGGUAUACAGAGACCCUGAUUGUGUUUAGCCCUUCAAAGACUCAUCUAGGAGGUGGCUGGAAACACCAGGCCCCAAGGUGGAGAGGGGAGCACUGUGCUGGGAAUCUAGAGCUGGGCCCAAUGCAGGCACUCUAACAGACAUGCCUGGGACCCUCAGCAGGUCACUUUCGGGCUCCUCACCUAUGAAAGGGGAAUGAAAACAUUAAUCCAUCUACCAAGUAAGUCAUGGUGACCCAGCAAGAUCAGGGCUGUAAAUCUCUUGGAGAAAUCAAGAUAGUAAGGUUGUGGUAGUCCUAGUCAUGGCCAAUGAUGGGCCUUGAGUACAUAAGAGGGAAAAAAAAAAAUGAGGAGAAGACCCCAAGAAGCAAUGAGCUCCAGGAAGAAACUGUCUUAGGGGGAAUCAGGCUCCUGACUCCGUUCCCAAGUCAAUUAGAAAUGACCUGAGAUUGUCCCCUUUCCUGUAUAAUUAGACCUCAAAUGCACAGAAUUGGA
RNAcentral lists this long non-coding RNA (1407 nucleotides) under Neogale vison (American mink). RNAcentral describes it as "Neovison vison (American mink) lncRNA (ENSNVIG00000021674.1)". Lineage: Eukaryota; Metazoa; Chordata; Mammalia; Carnivora; Mustelidae. The record is from RNAcentral.